Molecule: non-coding RNA, 26 nt
Filed under: Homo sapiens (human)
Lineage: Eukaryota; Metazoa; Chordata; Mammalia; Primates; Hominidae
Source: RNAcentral
UGAGGGAUGACCUUUGCAAGGUGUGA